RNAcentral lists this long non-coding RNA (359 nucleotides) under Solanum tuberosum (potato). Its description in RNAcentral is "long non-coding RNA (STUB_LNC001423)". The record is from RNAcentral. Lineage: Eukaryota; Viridiplantae; Streptophyta; Magnoliopsida; Solanales; Solanaceae.
GAAGCAUUAUGUCCAAGUGGAAGAGCUGCCAGAACUGAUCUUUUAUGAUCAGGUCCAUUGUAUAUCUUUUUCCCCUUGUGUUGCAUCUCCUAGAUCAGUAAAGCCACAAUAUAUCAGCUGGGCGGAUGACGGUGUUCUAGAUUUUGCAUUGCUUUGGAACACCUAUCCAUUCAAAGCAUUGAUGGACACUACUUUCAACUCAAGGAUCACUCGCAACCCUUUGAAAUAUAUUUGUUGUAGUCAUCGGUCAGUCAUAUAUCCUAAAUCAGCUAAUGUUUUUCUAUUCUUUCCUUCUAUUUUCUUUUUCUAAUAUAUUACUACAUCUUUUGUUUUUCUUUUAUUUUGAAACAGUAACAUGG